This 189-nucleotide ribosomal RNA is filed under the name uncultured bacterium. RNAcentral describes it as "partial 16S ribosomal RNA". It matches the Rfam family "Bacterial small subunit ribosomal RNA", at positions 338 to 524 of the family's 1533-position model. The record is from RNAcentral.
CCUACGGGAGGCAGCAGUGAGGAAUAUUGGACAAUGGGCGCAAGCCUGAUCCAGCCAUGCCGCGUGUAGGAAGACUGCCCUCUGGGUUGUAAACUACUUUUAUACUUGAAGAAUGUAUGCUUUGCGAAGCGUUUUGACGUUAGAGUAUGAAUAAGCACCGGCUAACUCCGUGCCAGCAGCCGCGGUAAU